This is a non-coding RNA of Hippocampus comes (tiger tail seahorse), 450 nucleotides long. The record is from the annotation of a RefSeq genome assembly. Lineage: Eukaryota; Metazoa; Chordata; Actinopteri; Syngnathiformes; Syngnathidae.
UCCACUCGCAACCCGAGUCAGGAUGUGGUCGCACGCGCUCGCCCUCGCCCUUUGGGCUCUCCUGAUUCCGGGAUCUUCUGCCGAGGAUUUUCUGAGGCAGACGGACAGAGUCAAGGCCGUUUCUCUUGGGGGCACGGUGACCAUCACUGCCACGGCGAAUUCAAACACUGGAAAUGAUCUCAGUUGGUACCAAGUGAAACCUGGACAGGCUCCCAAACUCCUCAUCUACUACGCAACCAAUCUCUUCUCUGGCACGCCAUCUCGAUUCAGCGGCACACGAUCCGGCUCCGACUACACUCUGACCAUCAGAGGUGUCCAGGCGGAAGACGUGGCUGAUUAUUACGCUUUUGCCUGGUACGGCUCCGGAAGGUUCACACGGUGAUUCAGAGGCGUACAAAAACCUCUUUUGGACUUUGAGAGAAGUGAAAGUCGCCUGCGGAAGGUGCCAAG